UGGGGAAUAUUGGGCAAUGGGCGAAAGCCUGACCCAGCAACGCCGCGUGAGGGAAGAAGGUUUUCGGAUUGUAAACCUCUGUCCUAAGUGACGAAGGAAGUGACGGUAGCUUAGGAGGAAGCCCCGGCUAACUACGUGCCAGCAGCCGCGGUAAUACGUAGGGGGCGAGCGUUGUCCGGAAUGACUGGGCGUAAAGGGCGUGUAGGCGGCUUUUUAAGUCUGGAGUGAAAGUCCUGCUUUCAAGGUGGGAAUUGCUUUGGAUACUGGAGAGCUUGAGUGCGGAAGAGGUAAGUGGAAUUCCCAGUGUAGCGGUGAAAUGCGUAGAGAUUGGGAGGAACACCAGUGGCGAAGGCGACUUACUGGGCCGUAACUGACGCUGAGGCGCGAAAGCGUGGGUAGCAAACAGGAUUAGAUACCC
RNAcentral lists this ribosomal RNA (418 nucleotides) under uncultured bacterium. RNAcentral describes it as "bacterial SSU rRNA". It matches the Rfam family "Bacterial small subunit ribosomal RNA", at positions 355 to 787 of the family's 1533-position model. The record is from RNAcentral.